UGGGGAAUAUUGGACAAUGGGCGAAAGCCUGAUCCAGCCAUGCCGCGUGUGUGAAGAAGGUCUUCGGAUUGUAAAGCACUUUAAGUUGGGAGGAAGGGCAGUAACCUAAUACGUUGCUGUCUUGACGUUACCGACAGAAUAAGCACCGGCUAACUCUGUGCCAGCAGCCGCGGUAAUACAGAGGGUGCAAGCGUUAAUCGGAAUUACUGGGCGUAAAGCGCGCGUAGGUGGUUUGUUAAGUUGGAUGUGAAAUCCCCGGGCUCAACCUGGGAACUGCAUUCAAAACUGACAAGCUAGAGUAUGGUAGAGGGUGGUGGAAUUUCCUGUGUAGCGGUGAAAUGCGUAGAUAUAGGAAGGAACACCAGUGGCGAAGGCGACUUGCUGGACUUAUGGUGACGCUGAGACGCGAAAGCGUGGGGAGCAAACAGGAUUAGAUACCCAAGUAGUCCCUGAGCGGGCUGGCAAGGCGCAU
This 472-nucleotide ribosomal RNA is filed under the name uncultured bacterium. Its description in RNAcentral is "bacterial SSU rRNA". It matches the Rfam family "Bacterial small subunit ribosomal RNA", at positions 355 to 825 of the family's 1533-position model. The record is from RNAcentral.